This 233-nucleotide unclassified non-coding RNA is filed under the name Hevea brasiliensis (rubber tree). Lineage: Eukaryota; Viridiplantae; Streptophyta; Magnoliopsida; Malpighiales; Euphorbiaceae. The record is from RNAcentral.
UGCAGGUCGAAUUGCUUGAGCAGUAAAUGCUGAGGUUUUUCUGUGUCUUGUCCAGUCUGAUUCAUAUUCCAUACCAGAAAUUCUGCUCUUAUAGUAGUUCCUUUUGGUUGUUUUAUGCAGGGUGUUCCAUAAGCCUCUAAAAUUGUCUCUUGCUCCACACAUUGCCCAAAUUUCAGUGAAGGCCAUAGAACUUAGCAAGUCUCAGCCGCCAGUGGCUUCCAUCUUUAUUGGAG